Molecule: ribosomal RNA, 442 nt
Filed under: uncultured bacterium
Lineage: Bacteria
Description: partial 16S ribosomal RNA
Rfam family: Bacterial small subunit ribosomal RNA
Source: RNAcentral
CCUACGGGUGGCAGCAGUGGGGAAUAUUGCACAAUGGGCGAAAGCCUGAUGCAGCAACGCCGCGUGAAGGAAGAAGGGUUUCGGCUCGUAAACUUCUAUCAACAGGGACGAAAGAAAUGACGGUACCUGUAUAAGAAGCCCCGGCUAAAUACGUGCCAGCAGCCGCGGUAAUACGUUGGGGGCAAGCGUUAUCCGGAAUUACUGGGUGUAAAGGGUGGGUAUGCGGCAUGGUAAGCCAGAUGUGAAAGCCUUGGGCUUAACCCGAGGAUUGCAUUUGGAACUAUCAAGCUAGAGUACAGGAGAGGAAAGCGGAAUUCCUAGUGUAGCGGUGAAAUGGGUAGAUAUUAGGAAGAACACCAGUGGCGAAGGCGGCUUACUGGACUGUAACUGACGUUGAGGCUCGAAAGCGUGGGGAGCAAACAGGAUUAGAUACCCUGUAGUC